AUGGAUCCCGCGGCGGAGAUGGAUGCCGGCGAGCUGGACGCCCUGCUCCGCGCGGCGGCCGACUUCGCCUCCUACCCAGGAACGCAUGGUGAGGACACAGUGAGGCAGUUCCUGGAACAGUUCCCUCUGCCUAAGCUGCUAGGUGUAUUGCAGAGCCAGGCAGACGUACCUGAGACGGUUGAAACUGUUGCAGCGUGCUUGGACAAAGUAUUUUCGUCCAGAUAUGGCGCUUCACUUCUGCCGAGCUAUGGUGAAUUUAUCCAAGCUGGGUUGCUCACAAACUCAAAUAGUAUCAGACAAUUGGCCUGCAAAGCGGUGGUACAUCUUCUUGACAAGGCUGGAGAUAUUGCUGUUGCUGUGGACACAUUUGUACAGCACAAUCUGUACCCUCUUCUGAUCAACUGCUUGAUUGAGGGAGACGAAGAGAUCUCAGCAAUUGUUUUGGAUGCCAUAAAGCGUCUAGCAGAAAUUCCUACAGGGACUGAUAUCAUAUUUCCACCAGAUGGUCAAGGAUUGCAACUCAACAAAGUGGCAGCCCAGUCAUCCUCAAUGGCACGGAUUCGCAUUCUAUCUUUGAUAGCUAAGCUCUUUGCUGCAUCAAGUUGUACUGCUACUGCAAUUCGUGACUCAAACCUUCUCAGCUUAUUUGAGGAUGAGAUAAAAGAUAGAAAAGAUAUGCUCAAGACCCUGAGUGCACUAGAGGUCCUCUAUGAGCUUGCGGAGCACCCUCACAGCAAUAUGUUCUUGUUAAAGACCAGUUUGCUUCAACACAUAACUGAUGUGAUAAACGAUCCCUCAGCUGAUUCUAUUGUACGGUCAAGGGCAUCAUUGAUCAGUGGGAGGCUUCUUUCUUCAGCUGAUGCUUUUAUGACUAUAGAAAAAUCUUGUGUUACAAAUCUGCUCUUGGCCAUAGACAAAAUAUUGAGGACGGAGGAAGGUCAAAAUACUGAUGAAAUUGAGAGCGCAUUGGAGACCUUAGGACUAAUUGGUACAACAACUCAAGGAGCAUGCUUGUUGCUCUCUGAUCCACCAAAUAUUGCCAGACAUGUGGUAGAAAUGUCCUUUGAUAGGCAGGGCAGGGGUAAACAGCUGGCCGCUUUACAUGCCUUUGGAAGCAUAUGUGGUGUUGAUCGACAAGAAGACCAGAUGAAACUGGAUGAUCAUCAAGCAGAAGAGUGCCUGAAGCGCUUAGUCUACAGCGCCGCAUCAAACAGUCCAAAAUUAACUCCUUCAGCUCUUCUUCUAUCAAUUCUACAACAAGAUCCAGACGUUCGGAUUGCUGGUUAUAGAGUACUGUCAGGACUGGUUGUCCGAGAAUGGUGCCUAAGGGAAGUUUGCUCAAAGCCAGAGAUAAUCGGAAUUGUUACGGAUCCAAAAAUGGAGACAACAAAACUUGGCAUGGAGGCACGGUACGCUUGCUGUGUGGCAAUCAACAAGGCCUUGUCAUCGUCGCACCUUCUUCAUGAACCGAGCCUUUCUGAACUCAUUGGAAAGCUGAAUGAGGCGGUCAGAAGGGGUCCCUAUCUUUCCGAGAAGAGGCCGCGUGUGGAGGCACAGCCGGUGGUCGGUACCAUGGAGAGGUUUUAA
RNAcentral lists this ribosomal RNA (1587 nucleotides) under Triticum aestivum (bread wheat). Its description in RNAcentral is "partial small subunit ribosomal RNA". The record is from RNAcentral. Lineage: Eukaryota; Viridiplantae; Streptophyta; Magnoliopsida; Poales; Poaceae.